GAGAAAAGCGAGUUCCUGCUCUGCUUCUGGGUGUAGUCGUGUCUCAAGAUGACUCUUACGGCUGCUGCCGCCAUGGUGGGAUCAUCACCCAGAAAGUUCCCUCUUGGCCCUUCUUGCCAACACAGCUGCCAAAGACAACCAUUUUUCUGAUUGUUUUCAAUCUUGCGUCAUGUUUCCUCUUCAGAGUUUUACAUCAAUGAGAUCAUACGAUCUAUGGACACGUCCACACUGAUGAUAGACCCUAAUGUCUUAAGACUACACCCAGGAGAAUAAUAAUGUUUUGGUAUUUCGGAGGCUUCAGGCCUGGCACAGAGCCCAACGCGGGC
Long non-coding RNA from Lynx canadensis (Canada lynx), 326 nucleotides. RefSeq lists it as uncharacterized. The transcript is spliced from 3 exons. The record is from RefSeq and is a predicted model, not a curated record. Lineage: Eukaryota; Metazoa; Chordata; Mammalia; Carnivora; Felidae.